Molecule: ribosomal RNA, 691 nt
Filed under: uncultured Lachnospiraceae bacterium
Lineage: Bacteria; Bacillati; Bacillota; Clostridia; Lachnospirales; Lachnospiraceae
Description: bacterial SSU rRNA
Rfam family: Bacterial small subunit ribosomal RNA
Source: RNAcentral
AGUCGAACGGGAAUUACUUUAUUGAAACUUCGGUCGAUAUGAUUUAAUUCUAGUGGCGGACGGGUGAGUAACGCGUGGGUAACCUGCCUUAUACAGGGGGAUAACAGUCAGAAAUGACUGCUAAUACCGCAUAAGCGCACAGAGCUGCAUGGCUCGGUGUGAAAAACUCCGGUGGUAUAAGAUGGACCCGCGUUGGAUUAGCUAGUUGGUGAGGUAACGGCCCACCAAGGCGACGAUCCAUAGCCGGCCUGAGAGGGUGAACGGCCACAUUGGGACUGAGACACGGCCCAGACUCCUACGGGAGGCAGCAGUGGGGAAUAUUGCACAAUGGGGGAAACCCUGAUGCAGCGACGCCGCGUGAAGGAAGAAGUAUCUCGGUAUGUAAACUUCUAUCAGCAGGGAAGAAAAUGACGGUACCUGACUAAGAAGCCCCGGCUAACUACGUGCCAGCAGCCGCGGUAAUACGUAGGGGGCAAGCGUUAUCCGGAUUUACUGGGUGUAAAGGGAGCGUAGACGGUGUGGCAAGUCUGAUGUGAAAGGCAUGGGCUCAACCUGUGGACUGCAUUGGAAACUGUCAUACUUGAGUGCCGGAGGGGUAAGCGGAAUUCCUAGUGUAGCGGUGAAAUGCGUAGAUAUUAGGAGGACACCAGUGGCGAAGGCGGCUUACUGGACGGUAACUGACGUUGAGGCU